AAAAUUCAAAUUAGAUGUAAAUGUUAAAGUUGGAUGGUUGUCGGCUUGUCGCAAAAAAAAAAUUACACUUCAUUGCACCAUAAUUAAGGUUGCAAAUUCAUCAGAUCAAUGUAAGCAACAAGGGUAACUAGAAAUGCUAAUUUAUCUAUGCUAAUCUACAGCUUUAGGCAUUCCAUGGAAAAGAAUUUGAGAUUUCAGUGUUGUGUUAUGUUGGUCGCUCUCUUUAAUUAAGUCAUUCCAAUUUCCUUUCUGAGAUUAAGUCCCCUGCUUCAUCGUAACAGAAAUCAUUCGGCCAAAUAAUUAAAGUCACCUUAAAAGAAAACCAUAUUUUGCCUCAUAUAUCUUUGACAAACCAUUAUCCACAUACUAUUAAGAGCAACACCAGUUAAAAUAAAAACAUGUCAAGGAAAGAAUGUACCUACAUAUGCUACACGAAGAAUUUGAAUCGAAGAUCACAGUCCGUGUGCCUAAAUGAUCCACAUCGUUCAAUGUAAAAUAAAAAAAAUAAGUUGAGCACGCAAACAAGUAAGAUAAGAAUAGGAAUGGAAGCAUACUUACCCGCCGAAGUAAAAGACAUUGCCCGAAAUAUACAUAAUUAAAAUCGUAUGCAACGAUUUCCAGCCUCUUGAUGUGCAGAAAAGUGAUAAUUCACAAACCACAUAAUCCAAAUUUGGCGAUUGUGGUCCACAGACCCUUAACAAAUUUCAUCCAGAACAUUAAAUUGAAACUGUCUGUCACGUUUUUUAAGUAAGCUUAAACAAAGAUUACCUUAGUUUCCACACAUUUUUUUAAUCAAAACCACAUGAUAAUGCAUGCCUCCAUUACCUCCAUCAAACACAGAUUAACUAUUACUUUUAAGAAAAGACUUCCUGCAGCCAUAGUGAAUGAAACCGAUAAUAUAAUAAGAGAUAACAUCUCACAAAGUGGAAUUGAACAACUUAUCGAUCAGGAUUUUCUUCCUGUAAUAGUUGAUCUGCAACAAAACAACCACACCAACUAACAACAUGUACAUACAUUAUAUCAAACAGUUGGUCUACAAUAAAGCAACUGCAAAUACUUUACGCAUAAUAUCUUUGAUUUUCCCUUAUCUUGGUUGACUAAUGAACCUGAUGCGAAUCAAAAGAAAACCAAGAACAAGUUUAGAAUUGAAAAAUGAGUACUAAUUCCAUGAAACAGUAUUUUAGACGUUACCUAAAUCGAUCGAGAAAGAGGUCCGUUCAGUGGUUCCAUCUCUAUCAUUCACCCCCACAUAUGCAUUGUCGCUGUUAAUGAUCACAAGUUCCUAAACGAACCAUGGAUGUUAGUUCAAAGGAAGGGGGAUAGUUGACGAUGGAAGAACCCUAAACAAACCCCUGUGCAUUUGAGUCAAUAUUAAUUUGAGAGUGGGGGCGUGGGUGUGGGUAGGGAGCGGGAAAAUGAAACUUUGCUUUAGUGGGAAAUUGAAAAAUUCAUUUCACACACUAAGAAAAUGCGGCUAAAGUAACCAGCCGGUAGUUUUUCUAGAUAAACACCAAAUAUAUUACUGUUGUUUGUUUCUCAACCAUACUCUAUGUCCUUCGCGAAACCCAUUUAUGAUUAUAUAAUACCGAAU
RNAcentral lists this long non-coding RNA (1591 nucleotides) under Lactuca sativa (garden lettuce). Its description in RNAcentral is "long non-coding RNA (LSAT_LNC006133)". The record is from RNAcentral. Lineage: Eukaryota; Viridiplantae; Streptophyta; Magnoliopsida; Asterales; Asteraceae.